RNAcentral lists this ribosomal RNA (253 nucleotides) under uncultured bacterium. Its description in RNAcentral is "partial 16S ribosomal RNA". It matches the Rfam family "Bacterial small subunit ribosomal RNA", at positions 524 to 776 of the family's 1533-position model. The record is from RNAcentral.
UACGGAGGGUGCGAGCGUUGUCCGGAAUCACUGGGCGUAAAGGGCGCGUAGGCGGCCUGAUAAGUAGGGGGUGAAAUCCUGCGGCUUAACCGCAGGGCUGCCUUCUAAACUGUCAGGCUGGAGCACAGUAGAGGCAGGUGGAAUUCCCGGUGUAGCGGUGGAAUGCGUAGAGAUCCGGAGGAAGACCGGUGGCGAAGGCGGUCUGCUGGGCAGUUUCUGACACUGAUGCGCGACAGCGUGGGGAGCAAACAGG